This 28-nucleotide small RNA is filed under the name Bombyx mori (domestic silkworm). Its description in RNAcentral is "ovarian small RNA-12000". Lineage: Eukaryota; Metazoa; Arthropoda; Insecta; Lepidoptera; Bombycidae. The record is from RNAcentral.
AGCAACACGAUGGGGCGAUACACGGCGG